Molecule: ribosomal RNA, 553 nt
Filed under: uncultured fungus
Lineage: Eukaryota; Fungi
Description: eukaryotic LSU rRNA
Rfam family: 5.8S ribosomal RNA (bases 191-344)
Source: RNAcentral
UCCGUAGGUGAACCUGCGGAAGGAUCAUUACCGAGUUCAUGCCCUUCGGGGUAGAUCUCCCACCCUUUGUAUACUAUACCUUUGUUGCUUUGGCGGGCCGCCUAGCUACUGACUUCGGCUGGUAAGUGCCCGCCAGAGGACCCAAAACCCUGAAUAUUAGUGUCGUCUGAGUAAAAAGUUUAAUAUUUAAAACUUUCAACAACGGAUCUCUUGGCUCUGGCAUCGAUGAAGAACGCAGCGAAAUGCGAUAGGUAAUGUGAAUUGCAGAAUUCAGUGAAUCAUCGAAUCUUUGAACGCACAUUGCGCCCCUUGGUAUUCCGAGGGGCAUGCCUAUUCGAGCGUCAUUAUCACCCCUCAAGCCUAGCUUGGUGUUGAGACCUGCUGUCAAGGCAGUCUCUAAAAUCAGUGGCAGUGCUGUCAGGCUCUAAGCGUAGUAAAUUCAUCGCUAUAGACACCUGGUGGCCACUCGCCAGAACCCCCCCAUUUUUUAAUGAUUGACCUCGGAUUAGGUAGGGAUACCCGCUGAACUUAAGCAUAUCAAUAAGCGGAGGAA